UACGUAGGGUGCAAGCGUUGUCCGGAAUUAUUGGGCGUAAAGAGCUCGUAGGCGGUUUGUCGCGUCUGCUGUGAAAACUCGGGGCUUAACCCCGGGCCUGCAGUGGGUACGGGCAGACUAGAGUGCGGUAGGGGAGACUGGAAUUCCUGGUGUAGCGGUGAAAUGCGCAGAUAUCAGGAGGAACACCGGUGGCGAAGGCGGGUCUCUGGGCCGUAAAUGACGCUGAGGAGCGAAAGCGUGGGGAGCGAACAGG
RNAcentral lists this ribosomal RNA (253 nucleotides) under uncultured bacterium. RNAcentral's name for it is "partial 16S ribosomal RNA". It matches the Rfam family "Bacterial small subunit ribosomal RNA", at positions 524 to 776 of the family's 1533-position model. The record is from RNAcentral.